AGGAUGACGAUGGGCACAAAGAAGAUGAAGAGAGGGAGGAAGCUGCUCCACCCCUGAGCGCUCCGCAAUUCAACCUUCCACAAGCCAUUCGGAGCCACUGGCUAACAUGCUAACAGAGAGGUGGUGUACUGUGAGGGAGCAGAUGGAGGCUCUGCAGCAGCGGAGAGCUCUCCAGGAGACUCCUGGCCGUUCCACCCCCGUUGUCACGGUAUCACCCCCCCAUGGUACUGCAACCACCUCUGCCCUGCCCCGCCCUCACGCUCGACCACAGCCAGAAACUCCAGCUGCGGCAGCAAGUCCAACAGGAGGAGCUCUAGGCGUUUGCCCAGCGUGAGGAGGCGAUCAGGUCAGUCCGGGACCCAGGCUUCAGCAGCAUUUUCAGGGCCUGUAACCUCCAGGGGGCACUGUCUCUGGUCCAGGAGCAGGAGAGCUCUGUCUCGCCAUCUGCUCCUUCUCCAACCCCCCCCUGCCAGGCCUCAAACACGCUCUAACAAUGUGUGUACAUACCCUCUGCUGCCUGCUGAGACGGCCUGGCUGCUCGCCACCUGCUCCGUCUUCCUCUAUCCAGAGCUCCUGCCCCACUGCAGCCUGGACACCGCACCCUCCAUGCACCAAGAACAACUUCUACACACGCGGAGAGGACAGACUCAUUGUACUGGGGCUGAAGGACUUCAGCCAGACAGAGCUCCCCUACCAGCUCAUGUGUCGCUACCUCAUCCGUACCAAGCAGGACCAGCUACGCUCCUGUGUCAAGGAGCUGUGUGGCCACAAGGCAUCUGACAACGCUAUCAAGUUGUACUGUCAGCACAACAUAGUUCCUGCCAUGUAGGAGACCUGUGGCAGGCUGAUGCCAGGGGAAGA
RNAcentral lists this long non-coding RNA (861 nucleotides) under Salmo trutta (river trout). RNAcentral describes it as "lncRNA (ENSSTUG00000038972.1)". The record is from RNAcentral. Lineage: Eukaryota; Metazoa; Chordata; Actinopteri; Salmoniformes; Salmonidae.